RNAcentral lists this transfer RNA (75 nucleotides) under Ferroglobus placidus DSM 10642. RNAcentral describes it as "tRNA-Thr". The record is from RNAcentral. Lineage: Archaea; Methanobacteriati; Methanobacteriota; Archaeoglobi; Archaeoglobales; Archaeoglobaceae.
UAUGCCGUGGCUCAGCUGGCAGAGUGGGUGACUUGUGUUCAGUGAGUUCAGCUGGUUCAAGUCCCGCCGGCACCU